CGGCACUGAGCGCUCCGGCAGCAGCGCAGUUGGACCGCAGGCUCGGGCGCUGGCAAGUCAUGUAGCAAAAGCAGCAACCACCCCUCAGGAAUUAGAAAAAAAAAAAAAAAGGAAAAGAAAAAAGAAAGAAAGAAAAAAGAAACAACCACCGCCCCGGGGGUGAAGCUCCCUCGCUCCCAACUGUACUUCUUGGUCUCCCCCCCCACCCCCCGCUCCCCCCCCCGCUGCUUCCUCCUCCUCCUCCUCCUCUCGCAGCAGCAGUCACAGCAGCAGCAGCAGCAGCCCAAAGGGGGGGAGAGCCGGGCGGCGGGCGGGCGCGUCCCGGAGCGGCCGCGGCGAGGCUGGGGAGACAGCGAUCGAGGCGGCUAUAGCCACAAUUAAUUUUCCGAGCUACAGGCGCACACUAGGGCUGUAAAAAAAUUUUUGGUUUAACCUUUCCUACCGCUGGGCCAAUCAGAGCUGGCGGCGUGCGGGAGCGUCUCUCUCGCCGUCGACCAAUCGGAGGGGCCGGGCCCACCCACCCCCGCCCCGCCCGCCGGCUGCCGCCCCCUCGGGCGCUCGCCUCCCCCUCUCCGCGGGCCUCGGACCCCGAGGCCGCGCGGAGCCGCGUAGGGAUACGCCGGCGGGAGCACGCGGUGCCGCAGCCCUUCCCUGCGCCCCCGCCACCCCCUCCACCCCGCCGGCUCCGCUCCACCGAAAUUCCCCUCCUAGGGCCAAUAGCUCACAUUUCCGGCUUCCUCCUCAUUGUACUGGGUCAUUUUCGUUUAAGCGUCAAUAUUUGUCCUUAGUGAUUAAAGUUUGUAUCCAAUUUUAUUUUUGAAAGCGGGGGUGGUGGUGGUAGUGGGAAGAGUGGGAGUGCAGGGAGAGGAUGCGAGAGGGCAGGAAAUGGAGGAGGUAGAGGCGAGGCACUACUUUUCCGAGUCGGCCUUGCAGGCCAGUGUCUGGCAUUUCUGAGCCAGCAGGAAAAUUGUGCCCUUUGUAGGUAAUAGUCUAGCGCAGCUUUGGAUAAGGGGGGAGAUAAGGCCCACCGCUGGCGUGUGUGCGGGGGUGUCCUUUACUUCGGGGGAGGAGGGUGUGGGAGAGCUUUGGGAGCGAUGAGAUGAGGAGGAGGAAGUGGGCAGAGGAGCGCGGGGCCAAACAGGGGUUACUUACUCGAUUCCUGAGGCCUGGGCGGCGGCGAGCUCCGGGCUCCGGCACCGCGGGGAAACCGGGACUGGGGCUCCGGGUGCUGCUGCGGCGGCCGGGGCCGCUCAGUAGUGGGCGCCUCUGAUGGCCUUCCGAAAUGAGAGGUGCCCAGAGAGAAAACAGUACCAAACAAUCUCGAAAUAAAUCAGAUGCACAGAGAAUUUCUGACCUUGUGACGUUUGGGAGUGAGGAGAUCCCAUACAGAGGCAUCCAGGUAUUUCCAGAGAUCCUGUGGCAGGUGAGGUCUGCCCUCGCUGGAGCCAACUCGUCUAUAAUAUCUUCCUAACAGCAGAACCUGGGUCUCACUCUGUCCCCUAGGCUGGAAUGCAGUGGUGUGAUCAUGGCCCACUGCAGCCUUGAACUCCUGGACCCAAGCAAUCCUCCCAUCUCAGCCUCCCAAGUAGCUGGAACUACAGGUGUAAGCCACACCUGGAUAACUCAUUUAUUUUUAGAUAACCUGUUUUUAAUAUUGGAAGCUUUUAUGAUUAUCUCUGGGUAGGGGUCUUUACAUUCCACUUGGCAUUUUUCACUUUAAAUUCUCAUGUCUUUCAACUUGGAAGAAUUUGAUUCUAUCAGUUCUCUGUUGAUUUCUUCUACUCCAUUUUCUGUAUUCACGUUGUUUUUGGGUUUCUAUUACUCAGAUAUGGG
This 1833-nucleotide long non-coding RNA is filed under the name Homo sapiens (human). Its description in RNAcentral is "HSALNT0208917". Lineage: Eukaryota; Metazoa; Chordata; Mammalia; Primates; Hominidae. The record is from RNAcentral.